UCAACGUGGAUAUUCCCGGGAGGUCACUCUCCCCGGGCUCUGUCCAGGUGGCGUACGGGAGCAUAGGGCUCUGCCCCGUGACGUAUGGUCCCUUUCCACGACGUUGGAGAUGAAGCUGGGCCUUGAGUCUGCGCCUGCAUAUUCCUACAGCUUCUCAGAGUCCUGUGGACCAUGACUGAGGAGACAAACCAUGCAGGAAACAGCU
Molecule: small nucleolar RNA, 205 nt
Organism: Mustela putorius furo (domestic ferret)
Lineage: Eukaryota; Metazoa; Chordata; Mammalia; Carnivora; Mustelidae
Gene: SNORA73
Rfam family: Small nucleolar RNA SNORA73 family
About the family: U17 (SNORA73A and SNORA73B) also known as E1 belongs to the H/ACA class of small nucleolar RNAs (snoRNAs). Vertebrate U17 is intron-encoded and ranges in length from 200-230 nucleotides, longer than most snoRNAs.
Source: Ensembl